Molecule: small nuclear RNA, 308 nt
Filed under: Marmota marmota marmota (Alpine marmot)
Lineage: Eukaryota; Metazoa; Chordata; Mammalia; Rodentia; Sciuridae
Also listed under: 1 other name
Description: 7SK RNA (ENSMMMG00000021269.1)
Rfam family: 7SK RNA
About the family: 7SK was discovered as an abundant small nuclear RNA in the mid-70s but a possible function has only recently been suggested. Two independent studies have found that 7SK RNA binds the CDK9/cyclin T complex (known as elongation factor P-TEFb).
Source: Rfam by way of RNAcentral
GAGUGUGAGGGCAAUCUGACUUUGACCUCUAUCACUGCUCUGAUCUUCAGAGUUGAUUUAAUCUUUCUGGUGGCUAGGAGGGUAUCCCCUUCCUCUCUCAUUCCAUGAGUGCUCAGGAGAGGAGGACUAUCUUCCCCCAUGAAGGAGGACCAUUCUUUAGUCAAGGGCAUAUGAGUAGUUGUGCUCCCCUGCUGGAACCUCUAAACAAGCCUUCAAGGUCCAUUUUCAGGAGAACAUAUGGUAGUCAUACCUCCAAGACUCCAGACACAUCCAAAUGUGGUGCUGCAUGUGUCUGUCUGCCUUUCUUA